AUGGGACGAGCUUCGCUGCUGCGUCUAGCGGCCGCCAUGGUCCUCACCGGCUUGGUUUCUCCGCAGGUUGCAGUGGCGGCACGCGCGACGCCGCCACUGCCGGUGCUGCCGAUCCCAACGGCGGCGCAGCUCGCGUGGCAGCGGCGGGAGGUGAUCAUGUUCUUCCACUUCGGGAUGAACACGUUCACGAACUCCGAGCUGGGCACGGGGGCGGAGGACCCGGCCCUGUUCGCCCCGGCCGCGCUCAACGCCAGCCAGUGGAUGGACGCGGCGGCCGCGGCCGGCGCGUCGCUCGCCAUCCUGGUCGCCAAGCACCACGACGGCUUCUGCCUCUGGCCGUCCGCCUACACGGCCCACUCCGUGCGCGCCAGCCCCUGGCACGGCGGCGCCGGCGACGUGGUGCGCGAGUUCGCCGCCGCGGCGCACGCACGGGGCGUCGACGCCGGCCUCUACCUCUCGCCGUGGGACCUACAUGAUCAGGAGUACGGCCGCGAGGUCGCCUACAACGAGUACUACUUGGCGCAGCUCCACGAGCUCCUCACCGGGUACGGGAGCUUGUCGGAGAUCUGGUUCGACGGCCACAAGGACAAGAACGCGACGAACAUGACGUACCACUUUCAGGAGUGGUUUCAGACCGUGAGGCAGUUGCAGAGCUCCAGCAUCAUCUUCUCCGACGCCGGCCCCGACGUCCGGUGGGUCGGCAAUGAGGAUGGGUUCGUCGGAACCACCUGCUGGUCCACCGUCAACCGCUCCAUGAUAACGAUCGGCGCAACCGGCAUCGAGAAUUAUCUGAACAACGGCGACCCGUGGGGGACGGACUGGGUGCCGCCGGAGUGCGACGUGACGAUCCGUCCUGGCUGGUUCUGGCACGAGAACGAGACGGCCAAGACGCUGAGCCAGCUGUUGGACAUAUACUACACCUCGGUGGGCCGGAACUGCGUGCUGCUGUUGAACGCGCCGCCCAACACCACGGGCCUGGUGGAGGACGCCGACAUCGCCAGGCUCCGCGAGUUCCGCGCCGCCAUCACGCGCAUCUUCGGCACAGACCUCGCCGAUGGCAGCACGGCUCGGGCCAGCAGCGAGCGCGGCGGCGACUUCGCGGCGGGCAAUGUGCUGGACGGCCGGGACGACACGUACUGGGCGCCGAUGGCGGAGGACGGGCGCAGGGACGGGUACUGGGUCGAGCUACGGCGGCCGGCGAGAGCGCGUGCGCGGCCGUUCAACGUUGUUAGGAUACAGGAGCACGUGGCGCUGGGGCAGCGGGUGGAGCGGCACGAGGUGUACGUGGACGGCGUGGCCGUGGCCAGCGGCACGACGGUCGGGCACAAGCGGCUGCACCGACUGGCCGGACCCGUCGUUGGCCGGACGGUGAAGAUAUGGUUCGCCGCGCGCCGUGGGCCUCCGGUAGUGUCGGCGGUGGGCCUGCAUCUCGACCCUCACGAAAUCAAUCGCCCGAGCCAAUAA
Molecule: ribosomal RNA, 1464 nt
Filed under: Triticum aestivum (bread wheat)
Lineage: Eukaryota; Viridiplantae; Streptophyta; Magnoliopsida; Poales; Poaceae
Description: partial small subunit ribosomal RNA
Source: RNAcentral